This 21-nucleotide microRNA is filed under the name Ornithorhynchus anatinus (platypus). RNAcentral describes it as "oan-miR-7408-3p". The record is from miRBase by way of RNAcentral. Lineage: Eukaryota; Metazoa; Chordata; Mammalia; Monotremata; Ornithorhynchidae.
UCUCCAUCGCUGCAGCCACCU